Molecule: transfer RNA, 76 nt
Filed under: Escherichia coli
Lineage: Bacteria; Pseudomonadati; Pseudomonadota; Gammaproteobacteria; Enterobacterales; Enterobacteriaceae
Also listed under: 1 other name
Description: tRNA-Phe
Rfam family: tRNA
About the family: Transfer RNA (tRNA) molecules are approximately 80 nucleotides in length. Their secondary structure includes four short double-helical elements and three loops (D, anti-codon, and T loops).
Source: RNAcentral
GCCCGGAUAGCUCAGUCGGUAGAGCAGGGGAUUGAAAAUCCCCGUGUCCCUGGUUCGAUUCCGAGUCCGGGCACCA